Long non-coding RNA from Triticum aestivum (bread wheat), 1022 nucleotides. RefSeq lists it as uncharacterized. The record is from RefSeq and is a predicted model, not a curated record. The transcript is spliced from 3 exons. Lineage: Eukaryota; Viridiplantae; Streptophyta; Magnoliopsida; Poales; Poaceae.
CUCUCCUCUGCCCGUGUUCUUCCUGGAGACUCCUCCCGAUCCAAAUCCCCAUCGUUUCCGAUCGAUCUACUGUCCCUCGUCCAGUCUUCACUCCGUAUAAAUAGUCCACUUACUCUCCUCUGCCGAUUUUUGGCAAAAUACCUCUCUCCCGUGCCUGUUUCACCUUGCCCGGAUCUCGCCGGAGUCCGCCACCGCAGGAGCACCUCCGCCACUCGAUUUCAUCGCCACAGAAGGGAAGCACCCACCCGAGUGCUUCGACCUCCGCCCCGACGAACACCGCCGUCGCCGCUCCAGCCGAACCUCACAUACUUUAGCAGAAGGCCCGGUCGUCCCAGAGGACGUUUUGGAGUUCGACGUGUCCCUCCUCGCCUCGUCCUGUUCUCCCCGAGCUCGGGAGGCCUCUCCAGCGACGCCAGUUUCAAAUCCGAGCCGUGCCGCCGCCGUCUCGUUCAAUUCCGGCUGGCAUACUCUGUUCCUCUCCGAUUGUCCGGAGUGUGAAGCGGAUCAGAAUUGAGCGUUAGAGUACUUCAACAGCGUUCAAGGCAAGUUGCACUUUUUGAUUAUGCUCAUCUUAUAUUCUGCUAUGCAUGUGUGGUUUUAUGCUAUGAUAUAUGUGUUGGCCUGAUAUGUGUACCCCGUGUUGUCAUGUUUGGUCUUGAUUGUGCUCUGUGAUGGUGUGAUCAACUUGCCAUGGUAGACGUGGGCAUGUCUCGAGUGAUCCAUGAAAGUGAUGAGUGUUUAUAGCCGUAGGCUCGGGAUUAUUAACCAGGUGAAUGCGUCACUGGCAGAGCGCUCUAUUGCCCCUAGAGAAUGCGCCAUUGACAGAGCGCACUUGAGGCGAGGUUUAGUUUUUGGAACUUAAAUCAGGUGAAUGCGUCCUUGGCAGAGUGCUCUAUUGUUCCUAGAGAAUGCGCCACUGACAGAGCGCACUUGAGACAUACUUCUGAAGUUCUUGUCAUGUUUAUUUAGAAUCUUUGGGUUAUCUUGGGCGAGUAAACUAGAGACGGUUGUGAGUUCAGGUA